AGUCUAAGUAGGCUGAGUUUCUCCCCUCACUUCCCUCAGCCUCAUAACACCUCCCUUGGGGGUAUUAUUUAAAUGGAAGCUUUCCAGGACUGAAAUAAGAAGACAUUUCCUGGCCCCUAAGUGAGUAAUUGGCCUAGUGAAAUCUCAUUUAAGGGGUAGUAAUUAGCCAAUAGGAGACCCAGGAGGAAGCCAAGCAGCUCUAGAGGGAAGUCCCUGACAAGGGACUGCAAGUGCAGAAACAGCCCAGAGUGUGCAGACUGCCGUCUACGCAAGAGGAAGGGUCAGAGUCCUUGCAAGCCCUCUGGCAGCCUUCAGCAUCCAAUAAAUUAGAUGAACGCUUAAUGCCUCUAGCAUCCAGGCCUUGAAAAAUCUCAGAGGUUAUAAAAAUAUAUACAGUCCUUUGAAGAAAGGUUCUGGUCCACUGAUGUCAACUGAAGGUCAGAUUAUGGAAAACUGGCAUUGCUACAACAAGAAAUGAAGCCUGCUUGUGUUUUCUCUUGUUAUUUUGAAUAAAGAAUCUCACCAUGUA
Long non-coding RNA from Heterocephalus glaber (naked mole-rat), 529 nucleotides. RefSeq lists it as uncharacterized. The record is from RefSeq and is a predicted model, not a curated record. Lineage: Eukaryota; Metazoa; Chordata; Mammalia; Rodentia; Bathyergidae.